Molecule: ribosomal RNA, 226 nt
Filed under: uncultured Pseudomonas sp.
Lineage: Bacteria; Pseudomonadati; Pseudomonadota; Gammaproteobacteria; Pseudomonadales; Pseudomonadaceae
Description: partial 16S ribosomal RNA
Rfam family: Bacterial small subunit ribosomal RNA
Source: RNAcentral
GAGUAGUACGAGGAAGGUGGGGAUGACGUCAAGUCAUCAUGGCCCUUACGGCCUGGGCUACACACGUGCUACAAUGGUCGGUACAAAGGGUUGCCAAGCCGCGAGGUGGAGCUAAUCCCAUAAAACCGAUCGUAGUCCGGAUCGCAGUCUGCAACUCGACUGCGUGAAGUCGGAAUCGCUAGUAAUCGUGAAUCAGAAUGUCACGGUGAAUACGUUCCCGGGCCUU